GAAAUGCGAUACGUCAUGCGAAUUGCAGAAACUUGUGAGUCAUCAAAACUUUGAACGCAACUUGCACUUCCGUAAGGGAGUAUGUCUGUUGGAGUGUCUGUUCAUCCCCACUUCCGCCCCCAAGGGCGGGCAGUGCCGGCCGCUUGUCGCACGCAGCAAACUGUUGCGACGGACAAUCGAGCCUAGAUGAAACACCAAUCAACCGAACUCGCCCCUGCUCUUUGCCCACAGAGAGCUCGGACGACGCGACGUGGGUCAGGACUUCCGGGUCUUUUCACAUCUCACGCGUCCUCUCCGAGCCCAACUCUGCAGGUACACCAAAAGAGAGCCCCGGCAUACCAUGAGUUCAUCCGAUCGGACCUCCAAUCAGGCAAGAAUACCCGCUGAAUUUAA
This 393-nucleotide unclassified non-coding RNA is filed under the name uncultured fungus. RNAcentral describes it as "sequence contains ITS1". The stretch from base 1 to 99 matches the Rfam family "5.8S ribosomal RNA", at positions 50 to 154 of the family's 154-position model. The record is from RNAcentral. Lineage: Eukaryota; Fungi.